UAGGGAAUCUUCGGCAAUGGGGGCAACCCUGACCGAGCAACGCCGCGUGAGUGAAGAAGGUUUUCGGAUCGUAAAGCUCUGUUGUAAGUCAAGAGCGAGUGUGAGAGUGGAAAGUUCACACUGUGACGGUAGCUUACCAGAAAGGGACGGCUAACUACGUGCCAGCAGCCGCGGUAAUACGUAGGUCCCGAGCGUUGUCCGGAUUUAUUGGGCGUAAAGCGAGCGCAGGCGGUUUGAUAAGUCUGAAGUUAAAGGCUGUGGCUCAACCAUAGUUCGCUUUGGAAACUGUCAAACUUGAGUGCAGAAGGGGAGAGUGGAAUUCCAUGUGUAGCGGUGAAAUGCGUAGAUAUAUGGAGGAACACCGGUGGCGAAAGCGGCUCUCUGGUCUGUAACUGACGCUGAGGCUCGAAAGCGUGGGGAGCGAACAGGAUUAGAUACCCUGGUAGUCCACGCCGUAAACGAUGAGUGCUAGGUGUUGGAUCCUUUCCGGGAUUCAGUGCCGCAGCUAACGCAUUAAGCACUCCGCCUGGGGAGUACGACCGCAAGGUUG
Molecule: ribosomal RNA, 550 nt
Filed under: uncultured bacterium
Lineage: Bacteria
Description: bacterial SSU rRNA
Rfam family: Bacterial small subunit ribosomal RNA
Source: RNAcentral